GGAUGUAUUUAUUACCAAUCCCUUUUGAUUCAUGAUAACUCUAGGGCCUUCCGCCGGCGAUGCUUUCAAUCCCUCAACUUCUUUAUGGUUUGAUCACUACUGUUUGGGGAACGGGGAAUUAGGGUGCCACGGAGAAGGAGCCUACCGCUACC
This 152-nucleotide ribosomal RNA is filed under the name Oxyonchus sp. OB_10. RNAcentral's name for it is "partial 18S ribosomal RNA". Lineage: Eukaryota; Metazoa; Nematoda; Enoplea; Enoplida; Thoracostomopsidae. The record is from RNAcentral.